GAUGAAGAACGCAGCGAAAUGCGAUAAGUAAUGUGAAUUGCAGAAUUCAGUGAAUCAUCGAAUCUUUGAACGCACCUUGCGCCCCUUGGUUAUUCCAAAGGGCAUGCCUGUUUGAGUAUCAUGAACACCUCAACUCUUGUGGUUUCCCACAAUGAGCUUGGACUGUGGAGGUUUUGUUGGCCCUGUGGUCAGCUCCUCUCAAAUGGAUCAGCUUACCGGUGUUUGGUGGCAUUACGGGUGUGAUAACUAUCUACGCUCGUGGUCGUCUCCAAAUAACCUCCAGUGAUGGAGGUUCGCUGGAGCUUAUAAAUGUCUCUCCCCAGUGAAGCCAGCCUUUGAACGUUCGAUCUCAAAUCAGGUAGGACUACCCGCUGAACUUAAGCAUAUCAAUAAGCGGAGGA
RNAcentral lists this unclassified non-coding RNA (401 nucleotides) under soil metagenome. RNAcentral's name for it is "partial contains 5.8S ribosomal RNA, internal transcribed spacer 2, and large subunit ribosomal RNA". The stretch from base 1 to 121 matches the Rfam family "5.8S ribosomal RNA", at positions 35 to 154 of the family's 154-position model. The record is from RNAcentral.